UUGCAGACUUUCAAUAUUUUUUUUGUUGUCGUGCAAUCACUUGACUUAACAGGUUGUUACCUUAACAGUAUGUUAAGUGUUAUCGUUACAGGCUAUUAACCUGUCUUAUUAGUAAAGAUGUGGUUUGAUUCUUUUUUUCAAUGACUAAUUACAAUUAUUCUUAAUAUUUAUAUUUUAAAAGCCUGAAUACUAUAUAUGUCCCUAAAAUGCGAAAAUUUGCUGAAGUAAACUGCAACUGGCAUGAAAAAGGAUACAACAUUUUGUGUUUUGUAAUUUACACGACAUGCGCACAACUACUGGGAAUUGGAGUUUAAUUUUUAUAAAAACACACGGAGGU
Long non-coding RNA from Drosophila ananassae, 337 nucleotides. RefSeq lists it as uncharacterized. NCBI's taxonomy places the organism in Eukaryota, Metazoa, Arthropoda, Insecta, Diptera, Drosophilidae. The transcript is spliced from 2 exons. The record is from RefSeq and is a predicted model, not a curated record.